GCAUAUCAAUAAGCGGAGGAAAAGAAACCAACAGGGAUUGCCCUAGUAACGGCGAGUGAAGCGGCAACAGCUCAAAUUUGAAAUCUGGCUUCGGCCCGAGUUGUAAUUUGCAGAGGAAGCUUUAGGCGCGGCACUUUCUGAGUCCCCUGGAACGGGGCGCCAUAGAGGGUGAGAGCCCCGUAUAGUUAGAUGCCUAGCCUGUGUAAAGCUCCUUCGACGAGUCGAGUAGUUUGGGAAUGCUGCUCAAAAUGGGAGGUAAAUUUCUUCUAAAGCUAAAUACCGGCCAGAGACCGAUAGCGCACAAGUAGAGUGAUCGAAAGAUGAAAAGCACUUUGAAAAGAGGGUUAAAUAGCACGUGAAAUUGUUGAAAGGGAAGCGCUUGUGACCAGACUUGCGCCGGGCAGAUCAUCCGGUGUUCUCACCGGUGCACUCUGCCCGGCUCAGGCCAGCAUCGGUUCUCGCGGGGGGAUAAAGGCCCUGGGAACGUAGCUCCUCCGGGAGUGUUAUAGCCCGGGGCGUAAUGCCCUCGCGGGGACCGAGGUUCGCGCAUCUGCAAGGAUGCUGGCGUAAUGGUCAUCAGCGACCCGUCUUGAAACACGGACCAAGGAGUCAAGGUUUUGCGCGAGUGUUUGGGUGUAAAACCCGCACGCGUAAUGAAAGUGAACGUAGGUGAGAGCUUCGGCGCAUCAUCGACCGAUCCUGAUGUUUUCGGAUGGAUUUGAGUAGGAGCGUUAAGCCUUGGACCCGAAAGAUGGUGAACUAUGCUUGGAUAGGGUGAAGCCAGAGGAAACUCUGGUGGAGGCUCGCAGCGGUUCUGACGUGCAAAUCGAUCGUCAAAUCUGAGCAUGGGGGCGAAAGACUAAUCGAACCAUCUAGUAGCUGGUUACCGCCGAAGUU
Molecule: ribosomal RNA, 897 nt
Filed under: Chaetomium subaffine
Lineage: Eukaryota; Fungi; Ascomycota; Sordariomycetes; Sordariales; Chaetomiaceae
Description: LSU rRNA
Rfam family: Eukaryotic large subunit ribosomal RNA
Source: RNAcentral